This 441-nucleotide ribosomal RNA is filed under the name uncultured bacterium. RNAcentral describes it as "partial 16S ribosomal RNA". It matches the Rfam family "Bacterial small subunit ribosomal RNA", at positions 338 to 795 of the family's 1533-position model. The record is from RNAcentral.
CCUACGGGUGGCAGCAGUGGGGAAUAUUGCACAAUGGGGGAAACCCUGAUCCAGCCACGCCGCGUGAGUGAAGACGUAUUUCGGUAUGUAAAGCUCUAUCAGCAGGGAAGAAGAGAGACGGUACCUGACUAAGUAGCACCGGCUAACUACGUGCCAGCAGCCGCGGUAAUACGUAGGGGGCAAGCGUUAACCGGAUUUCCUGGGUGUAAGGGGAGCGUAGACGGCUGUACAAGUCGUAGGUGAAAGCCCGUGGCUCAACCGCGGAACUGCUUUGGAAACUGUACAGUUUGAGUACUGGAGAGGCAGGCGGAAUUCCUAGUGUAGCGGUGAAAUGCGUAGAUAUUAGGAGGAACACCAGUGGCGAAGGCGGCCUGCUGGACAGAAACUGACGUUGAGGCUCGAAAGCGUGGGGAGCAAACAGGAUUAGAUACCCUAGUAGUC